RNAcentral lists this ribosomal RNA (520 nucleotides) under uncultured bacterium. RNAcentral's name for it is "bacterial SSU rRNA". It matches the Rfam family "Bacterial small subunit ribosomal RNA", at positions 355 to 892 of the family's 1533-position model. The record is from RNAcentral.
UAGGGAAUAUUGGACAAUGGGGGCAACCCUGAUCCAGCAAUGCCGCGUGAGUGAUGAAGGCCUUAGGGUUGUAAAGCUCUUUCGCACGCGACGAUGAUGACGGUAGCGUGAGAAGAAGCCCCGGCUAACUUCGUGCCAGCAGCCGCGGUAAUACGAAGGGGGCGAGCGUUGUUCGGAAUUACUGGGCGUAAAGGGCGCGCAGGCGGCCGAUCAAGUCAGGCGUGAAAGCCCCGGGCUUAACCUGGGAAUUGCGCUUGGGACUGAUGGGCUUGAGUUCGGGAGAGGAGGGUGGAAUUCCCAGUGUAGAGGUGAAAUUCGUAGAUAUUGGGAAGAACACCGGUGGCGAAGGCGGCUCUCUGGACCGAUACUGACGCUGAGGCGCGAAAGCGUGGGGAGCAAACAGGAUUAGAUACCCUGGUAGUCCACGCUGUAAACGAUGUGCGCUAGACGUUGGAGGGCGUAGCCUUCCGGUGUCGCAGCUAACGCUUUAAGCGCACCGCCUGGGGAGUACGGCCGCAAG